UGGUGAAGUCGUAACAAGGUAACCGUAGG
This 29-nucleotide ribosomal RNA is filed under the name Yersinia enterocolitica subsp. enterocolitica. RNAcentral's name for it is "partial 16S ribosomal RNA". Lineage: Bacteria; Pseudomonadati; Pseudomonadota; Gammaproteobacteria; Enterobacterales; Yersiniaceae. The record is from RNAcentral.